CAAGGAGGACGCAUUCUCAGGGCUUCCUCAUAUUGAGUAUUUAUUUAUUGAAGGUAACAAGAUUGAAGAGAUAAACAAAUAUGCCUUUAGAGGACUUCGGGGUGUCACACAUCUAUCAUUAGCGAACAACAAUUU
This is a long non-coding RNA of Carassius auratus (goldfish), 135 nucleotides long. RefSeq lists it as uncharacterized. The record is from RefSeq and is a predicted model, not a curated record. NCBI's taxonomy places the organism in Eukaryota, Metazoa, Chordata, Actinopteri, Cypriniformes, Cyprinidae. The transcript has 3 exons.